This is a long non-coding RNA of Passer domesticus (house sparrow), 2750 nucleotides long. RefSeq lists it as uncharacterized. The record is from RefSeq and is a predicted model, not a curated record. Lineage: Eukaryota; Metazoa; Chordata; Aves; Passeriformes; Passeridae. The transcript is spliced from 7 exons.
UUCCAUAGUUUACCAGGUCAAAGAGUCUUGACUUUUUUUUUCUGCUAUGUAGUUUAGCUUCCUUGUUACUGCAGAAGAUCAAGAAUUGGCCUAGUGUAAAAAGACUGUUCCAAAAGCCCAAGUAAAUUACAUUUCUGCUGGCCUUCCCAGGAAAAUGCCUGGGGAAGUAAUCUGUUGCUCUCAGUGGCCAGAGAGCUGCUGCUACACUUUGUAGCUUGUGCUGAAGAAAAAGGAUUCCUGCUGUCAUAGGCUCCAGCAUGAGUGAGGAUCUUCCUAGCCAGCCUCCAGUAUAGCGAGGUGGCAAAAUGACUCUGGAAUGCAGUGAAUGUCUCCACGUCUCCCAACACUGAUGGAAGACAGAUUCAAUUUAUUCCUAUAGAUCACUUACACUGACUAACUAACAGAAGCACACUUCACUAAGACACUUAUCGGGGCUGUAUCGUAGUUAUAGUUCCUUAUGAAUAACAAAGGUUCACACCAUAACAGUGGGAUAAGAACUCCAGAUCUCUGAAAUGCUUAUAAAAGGUCCCUAAAAAUUUUACAGUCUUCUUUAUUCAUUCUUCUCUGAGUGAAAGGAUUAAUGUGUCAGCACUACUUAUCAUUUCUAGUGUGGUUAAGUCCAGCAGACCCCCUGGUACUGGCUAUGCUGGGCACAGAUCUGAGGUAUCCUUGGCCAAUGGGGAGAAAUAACAGCAGGAGUACAGGAGUACACUUUCAGGACUUAUACGCCGUCUAUUUCUUUGGCUGGAGAAGAUUCAGAAGAUAAGAAGUGAGAGAGGAGUCAAUCAAGAAAAAUUAUUUGUGGCAACCUGACCAAAAGGACAAAACAAUUUGCUGUAGAUGAGUGAAAUGGCUGUUUUUACUGCUGAUGGAGUGUAUGUGCAAGGUUGAGCAAAUGUUUAAAAGUAAUACUGGGACCUAAGGGAAAGUGUUAUUAACUUGAUGUGAGUGAAAGGCUCAUUGGAGAGUGGGGCACAGGAGAUGAGAAACUGUGGAAGACUGAGCUGCAACCAUUGUAAGAAACACCUGAGGCAAGGAAAGGCAGGAGAAUAAAAAUUCAGAAAUCUUUUUUAAAAAUGCCUGAAGAUGAAGCUCAUUGAUGUUGACCUCAUGUCAUGAAACUAUCAAUCAACUAGAAAAAGGCAUUCAUCCAUCAUAGAAAAAGAAGACUGAAACAAUACCUGGAUUUUAAAAAUAAAUAAUCAUAAAUUUGCAUCUUUCUGUAACUUGGAGAUGGAUUGCAGAGAAGCAGUAGGUUGUUGGUAAGAUUGUUUUUUCUGUAAUUCAAGAAGAAAUACCAUUCAGCUUUAAAUAAAACACAACCGUGCUAACAAAGGACCUAUAUAAACAUCCUUAAAGAAACCUCUUCCCGUACUUCCCACUUAUAGCAGGUGGAGAGGAGUGAAAACAGAUCAUCCAAUCUGGAAGUUAUUUAUUUUGUUUUAAAACCUAAUAUAUUCUGAUCUGAUGCACUGAAAGGACCUAAAAGCUGAGUUGAUAUAUGGAAUUUUUUAAUGUGAAAAGUCUAGACAUAAACUGGGAUUAUAGUAAAAAUAUAUACUCACCCACCUGUGGAUUUAUGAAAUGGUGAAGUACAAAGACUCAUGACAGACAUAUAGUUUAGCAGCACUGGAUUCGCAUUUAAUCUACUUUUCACAUACGUUUUAAAAAAUCUUCAAUUAUCUGCAAAAGAUCUGCUUUCAUAAACUCCAUAAUUUAUCAGGGAUUAAAAGAGCAAUGUUUUGACAACAUAGCUGCUUUAAGUGCAACCCAUUUUUUCUACAUCAUUAAUCCAGAUUGAAUAGCUCCCAAAUUUUCUGACCCUGGUAAAUGUAUCCUUGCUGUUUACAUUUGUGCAAAUGAUACUUUUACUAUUCAGGUUGAAUUUCAGGGCUGUCUUAUGUCAAGAAAGUAUGUUUCAGAAACAGCUUUUUUUCUGUGUUUUGUAAGAGUAAAUAUUUCAUUGCUUUUCAGAACAAUUACAUUUGAGUGCAAAUCAAUCAGUGUGAUGCAACAGACUUCUGAAAUCAAAAACAAACCGCCUGCAAAAUGAAGUGGCUGCUUAUCCUAGAAUUACAGGUCUCUAGGAGACAGAGGGGUGACAACUAGCUUACUAAAUAAAAGAUGGUGGGGGAAAAAAGUCCUUCUAGAUAAUUGUUGCUUUCUUUGAACUUGAAACUAAUAGGUAGAAACUGGCUUUUCCAACUUCAAGCUUUUACUAGUUACCAUUUUCAAAAAUUAUUUAGCAAAGAGAUUUUUGCCAGGAAGAUUGACAAGAUAAACUCUUGAAGAAUUCCUUAUGAUUUCAGCAUUUUAAAUUUUAAAGUUUUGAUUUAAGAGUCCAGAAAAGCUUGUCAAAAUUAAGUUUUCAACAACCAUGGAAUGCAAUUUAGUACAUUGAAUUGAUAUAAAGAAACUGAAGAAUUAGAACUAAGUAGUUGUAUUUUUACAUACAACUCACUCCUAAAUUAUAUUUAUGUGGUGUUUAUUGCCUUUUAUUUAUUCUGUCAGGAAAUAAGUGCAACACAUGUGCUGUUUUAUCACAUGAGAUGUUAGUGUAAAAUACGUUAAGAAAAUUGUGGCAAUUAAUCCUCAGUCUCACCUGACAGAUGGUUUCUGCACUGCUUCAUCUUUCAACAAUUUUACUGUGAAUCCAAGCAGAUAAUGUAUUUGAGACAACAAUUUUGUUGGACACUAGGAAGAUAGAGUUAUUUCUAUUAUACUUGAAAAGUGUUGUAGUUUCCAAUGAA